The submitters of this non-coding RNA (74 nucleotides) gave its source as unclassified sequences. The record is from Rfam.
AAUGGUCCUCGGUAGUGGUUUCCAGAUGCAAGCACUAGAUGUUUGGCAUCUGUGAACUUCGAUCGAAGAUUCAU